AUAAAGUUGGCUGCCACCUCCCGCUGUUUUCAGUGAGGUUGAAGUCAUGCCCUCAGGCACCAUACCUGUGCUGCAUCAUGGUCUGGGGGCUAGACGGGACAUGCCAGGAACUGUGAGGCGCAACAGCGACGCUGUGAAAGUUGGCCCAGAAUGGGAAGGGACUGUACCCUGGAAAGGUUUUGGACUGUGUGAUCCGGCUGGUGGGCUGAGCCACAGAAGACCUGCAGAAGUAGGCUGACAGCCUCCUGGGAGCUGAAGAGUGGUAGUACUAUGUCUGGAUCCUAGGGGGUGCUCAAAAAGGAGUCUAUCUGGAGGCUGCUGACCUGAAUUCACGUUGGGCCAAGGUGGCACUG
This is a long non-coding RNA of Mauremys reevesii (Reeves's turtle), 353 nucleotides long. RefSeq lists it as uncharacterized. The record is from RefSeq and is a predicted model, not a curated record. Lineage: Eukaryota; Metazoa; Chordata; Testudines; Geoemydidae. The transcript is spliced from 3 exons.